RNAcentral lists this ribosomal RNA (812 nucleotides) under Pseudarthrobacter oxydans. RNAcentral describes it as "bacterial SSU rRNA". It matches the Rfam family "Bacterial small subunit ribosomal RNA", at positions 101 to 922 of the family's 1533-position model. Lineage: Bacteria; Bacillati; Actinomycetota; Actinomycetes; Micrococcales; Micrococcaceae. The record is from RNAcentral.
AACGGGUGAGUAACACGUGAGUAACCUGCCCUUAACUCUGGGAUAAGCCUGGGAAACUGGGUCUAAUACCGGAUACGACUGAUCAUCGCAUGGUGGUUGGUGGAAAGCUUUAUUGUGGUUUUGGAUGGACUCGCGGCCUAUCAGCUUGUUGGUGAGGUAAUGGCUUACCAAGGCGACGACGGGUAGCCGGCCUGAGAGGGUGACCGGCCACACUGGGACUGAGACACGGCCCAGACUCCUACGGGAGGCAGCAGUGGGGAAUAUUGCACAAUGGGCGCAAGCCUGAUGCAGCGACGCCGCGUGAGGGAUGACGGCCUUCGGGUUGUAAACCUCUUUCAGUAGGGAAGAAGCGAAAGUGACGGUACCUGCAGAAGAAGCGCCGGCUAACUACGUGCCAGCAGCCGCGGUAAUACGUAGGGCGCAAGCGUUAUCCGGAAUUAUUGGGCGUAAAGAGCUCGUAGGCGGUUUGUCGCGUCUGCCGUGAAAGUCCGGGGCUCAACUCCGGAUCUGCGGUGGGUACGGGCAGACUAGAGUGAUGUAGGGGAGACUGGAAUUCCUGGUGUAGCGGUGAAAUGCGCAAAUAUCAGGAGGAACACCGAUGGCGAAGGCAGGUCUCUGGGCAUUAACUGACGCUGAGGAGCGAAAGCAUGGGGAGCGAACAGGAUUAGAUACCCUGGUAGUCCAUGCCGUAAACGUUGGGCACUAGGUGUGGGGGACAUUCCACGUUUUCCGCGCCGUAACUAACGCAUUAAGUGCCCCGCCUGGGGGAGUACGGCCGCAAGGCUAAAACUCAAAGGAAUUGACGGGGGCCC